UGGGGAAUAUUGGACAAUGGGGGGAACCCUGAUCCAGCCAUGCCGCGUGUGUGAAGAAGGCCUUAUGGUUGUAAAGCACUUUAAGCGAGGAGGAGGGUACUGGUAUUAAUACUACCAGGUACUGGACGUUACUCGCAGAAUAAGCACCGGCUAACUCUGUGCCAGCAGCCGCGGUAAUACAGAGGGUGCGAGCGUCAAUCGGAUUUACUGGGCGUAAAGCGUGCGUAGGCGGCUAAUUGAGUCGGAUGUGAAAUCCCCGAGCUUAACUUGGGAAUUGCAUUCGAUACUGGUUAGCUAGAGUGUGGGAGAGGAUGGUAGAAUUCCAGGUGUAGCGGUGAAAUGCGUAGAGAUCUGGAGGAAUACCGAUGGCGAAGGCAGCCAUCUGGCCUAACACUGACGCUGAGGUACGAAAGCAUGGGGAGCAAACAGG
Molecule: ribosomal RNA, 430 nt
Filed under: Pseudomonadota bacterium
Lineage: Bacteria; Pseudomonadati; Pseudomonadota
Description: Proteobacteria bacterium partial 16S ribosomal RNA
Rfam family: Bacterial small subunit ribosomal RNA
Source: RNAcentral